Molecule: ribosomal RNA, 535 nt
Filed under: Streptomyces sp. BM2-4
Lineage: Bacteria; Bacillati; Actinomycetota; Actinomycetes; Kitasatosporales; Streptomycetaceae
Description: bacterial SSU rRNA
Rfam family: Bacterial small subunit ribosomal RNA
Source: RNAcentral
AAUCUGCCCUGCACUCUGGGAUAACUCCGGGAAACCGGAGCUAAUACCGGAUACGACUCUCCAGGGCAUCCUGGGGGGUGGAAAGCUCCGGCGGUGCAGGAUGAGCCCGCGGCCUAUCAGCUGGUUGGUGGGGUGAUGGCCUACCAAGGCGACGACGGGUAGCCGGCCUGAGAGGGCGACCGGCCACACUGGGACUGAGACACGGCCCAGACUCCUACGGGAGGCAGCAGUGGGGAAUAUUGCACAAUGGGCGCAAGCCUGAUGCAGCGACGCCGCGUGAGGGAUGACGGCCUUCGGGUUGUAAACCUCUUUCAGCAGGGAAGAAGCGUGAGUGACGGUACCUGCAGAAGAAGCACCGGCUAACUACGUGCCAGCAGCCGCGGUAAUACGUAGGGUGCGAGCGUUGUCCGGAAUUAUUGGGCGUAAAGAGCUCGUAGGCGGCUUGUCGCGUCGGAUGUGAAAGCCCGGGGCUUAACCCCGGGUCUGCAUUCGAUACGGGCAGGCUAGAGUUCGGUAGGGGAGAUCGGAAUUCCUG